Molecule: ribosomal RNA, 644 nt
Filed under: uncultured bacterium
Lineage: Bacteria
Description: bacterial SSU rRNA
Rfam family: Bacterial small subunit ribosomal RNA
Source: RNAcentral
AGAGUUUGAUCAUGCCUCAGAUUGAACGCUGGCGGCAGGCCUAACACAUGCAAGUCGAGCGGUAGAGAGAAGCUUGCUUCUCUUGAGAGCGGCGGACGGGUGAGUAAUGCCUAGGAAUCUGCCUGGUAGUGGGGGAUAACGUUCGGAAACGGACGCUAAUACCGCAUACGUCCUACGGGAGAAAGCAGGGGACCUUCGGGCCUUGCGCUAUCAGAUGAGCCUAGGUCGGAUUAGCUAGUUGGUGGGGUAAUGGCUCACCAAGGCGACGAUCCGUAACUGGUCUGAGAGGAUGAUCAGUCACACUGGAACUGAGACACGGUCCAGACUCCUACGGGAGGCAGCAGUGGGGAAUAUUGGACAAUGGGCGAAAGCCUGAUCCAGCCAUGCCGCGUGUGUGAAGAAGGUCUUCGGAUUGUAAAGCACUUUAAGUUGGGAGGAAGGGCAGUAAAUUAAUACUUUGCUGUUUUGACGUUACCGACAGAAUAAGCACCGGCUAACUCUGUGCCAGCAGCCGCGGUAAUACAGAGGGUGCAAGCGUUAAUCGGAAUUACUGGGCGUAAAGCGCGCGUAGGUGGUUAGUUAAGUUGGAUGUGAAAUCCCCGGGCUCAACCUGGGAACUGCAUUCAAAACUGACUGACUAGAGU